UACGGAGGGUGCAAGCGUUAAUCGGAAUUACUGGGCGUAAAGCGCGCGUAGGCGGCUUGUUAAGCUAGAUGUGAAAGCCCAGGGCUCAACCUUGGAACUGCAUUUAGAACUGGCAGGCUAGAGUACAGCAGAGGGGUGUGGAAUUUCAGGUGUAGCGGUGAAAUGCGUAGAGAUCUGAAGGAACAUCAGUGGCGAAGGCGACACUCUGGGCUGAUACUGACGCUGAGGUGCGAAAGCGUGGGGAGCAAACAGG
Molecule: non-coding RNA, 253 nt
Filed under: uncultured bacterium
Lineage: Bacteria
Also listed under: 1 other name
Description: partial 16S ribosomal RNA
Rfam family: Bacterial small subunit ribosomal RNA
Source: RNAcentral